GGGAGGGGGAGGCAUAUUUUCAUUUGCAAGAAUCAUUUUUCCUUUCUUUUAGACUGUAAACUAAAUAGUAUAUACAAUUCUUCUGUACAACAAAUACUAAUGGUAUUUUGGAGGGAAUUCUAAGCAGAAACUCUUCUCUGCUCCUCUUUCAGUUUCUUCUAACGAUAUGUUCAGCAUUUUCUUUGAGACCAAUAAAUUCAAUGUAUUAUCUACAGGUUGUCGUCGUCGUCUGUAUCAAGCUCGAGGCCCUCCUCAGCUAAGAGUUGGCUUAUUACCUUCUUCUUUUCCUCCUCUGCUUUUUUUCGCAUUAAAUCCCUCUUCUUCAAGAUAAGUGUGUGGCGCUUCAGUGUGCUGUUAAAAUACUCUAUUGACGCCU
RNAcentral lists this unclassified non-coding RNA (376 nucleotides) under Hevea brasiliensis (rubber tree). The record is from RNAcentral. Lineage: Eukaryota; Viridiplantae; Streptophyta; Magnoliopsida; Malpighiales; Euphorbiaceae.